This 489-nucleotide ribosomal RNA is filed under the name uncultured bacterium. Its description in RNAcentral is "bacterial SSU rRNA". It matches the Rfam family "Bacterial small subunit ribosomal RNA", at positions 28 to 507 of the family's 1533-position model. The record is from RNAcentral.
GAUGAACGCUAGCGGGAGGCUUAACACAUGCAAGUCGAGGGGCAGCAUAGGGUAGCAAUACUCUGAUGGCGACCGGCAAACGGGUGAGUAACGCGUAUGCAACCUACCCUGUACAGGGGGAUAACCCGGAGAAAUUCGGACUAAUAUCCCGUAAUAAUAUCCGGAGGCAUCUUUGGAUAUUUAAAGUUCCGACGGUACGGGAUGGGCAUGCGUAACAUUAGCUGGUUGGUAAGGUAACGGCUUACCAAGGCUAUGAUGUUUAGGGGUCCUGAGAGGGUGGUCCCCCACACUGGUACUGAGACACGGACCAGACUCCUACGGGAGGCAGCAGUGAGGAAUAUUGGUCAAUGGGCGCAAGCCUGAACCAGCCAUCCCGCGUGCAGGAAGACGGCCCUAUGGGUUGUAAACUGCUUUUCCAGGGAGAGAAACUUACGCACGUGUUGCGUGACUGACGGGUACCCCUGGGAAUAAGCAUCGGCUAACUCCGUG